Molecule: unclassified non-coding RNA, 213 nt
Filed under: Hevea brasiliensis (rubber tree)
Lineage: Eukaryota; Viridiplantae; Streptophyta; Magnoliopsida; Malpighiales; Euphorbiaceae
Source: RNAcentral
AUGGGCGAAUCCACCUGCGUCGCUUGCGGUGAAUGCGUCCAGGCGUGUCCCACAGGCGCGCUGAUGCCGUCGGCAUAUUUCGAUGCAAACCAGACCCGCACGGUUUAUCCGGACAAGAAGGUCGAUUCACUCUGUCCGUUCUGCGGCGUCGGUUGCCAGGUGACUUAUGAGGUCAAGGACGAAGAGAUUGUCUAUGCCGAGGGCCGCGAUGGU